UGGCACGGUUCAUGUCAGGAGGACUAGAA
Molecule: non-coding RNA, 29 nt
Filed under: Rattus norvegicus (Norway rat)
Lineage: Eukaryota; Metazoa; Chordata; Mammalia; Rodentia; Muridae
Source: RNAcentral